RNAcentral lists this ribosomal RNA (385 nucleotides) under Ochrophyta sp. RNAcentral describes it as "SSU rRNA". It matches the Rfam family "Eukaryotic small subunit ribosomal RNA", at positions 587 to 975 of the family's 1831-position model. The record is from RNAcentral.
AGCUCCAAUAGCGUAUAUUAAAGUUGUUGCAGUUAAAAAGCUCGUAGUUGGAUUUCUGGCAGGAGCGACCGGUCCGCCGCAAGGUGUGCACUAGGUUGUCUCCAGUCAUCUUUGUGGGAACUGCUCUGGCAUUAGGUUGUCGGGGUUAGGGAACACAUCGUUUACUGUGAAAAAAUUAGAGUGUUUAAAGCAGGCUUAUGCCGUUGAAUACAUUAGCAUGGAAUAAUAAGAUAGGACUUUGGUGGUCUAUUUUGUUGGUUUGCACACCAAGGUAAUGAUUAAUAGGGAUAGUUGGGGGUAUUCGUAUUUAAUUGUCAGAGGUGAAAUUCUUGGAUUUAUGAAAGACGAACUACUGCGAAAGCAUUUACCAAAGAUGUUUUCAUUA